This 57-nucleotide transfer RNA is filed under the name Taeniogonalos tricolor. Its description in RNAcentral is "tRNA-Arg". Lineage: Eukaryota; Metazoa; Arthropoda; Insecta; Hymenoptera; Trigonalidae. The record is from RNAcentral.
UUAUGAAGUAAUAAAUACAUUUAAUUUCGGCUUAAAAAAAAACUUUUUGUUCAUAAU